CUGGUAUUGUUCUCUAUUGGAAAUCAUCUACUGUGACGGGUUAGCACCCAUUAGCAGUUAACUUACACAACCACCUCGCGUAUCCGCGCGCGUGUAUGAUCCCACUCCGCACAUGUGUAGUUCUAAUGAUUCCUCCACACAAUCCUUGUGAUUCUGCUCCACACAUGUGUAGUCUCUAAUGAUUCCUCUGUGUAUUCCCUGAUAUUCUUUCACUCUGCUCAUUCUUCUAUAAGAACUUCUUUGUAUAAUCUUUUCUUUUAAUCUCUUUUCUUUUUCUUUUCUUAAUCAAUUUGUAAACUGUAUUAGUGUAACGGGCG
RNAcentral lists this small RNA (317 nucleotides) under Histoplasma capsulatum var. duboisii H88. RNAcentral's name for it is "Histoplasma capsulatum H88 hypothetical RNA". Lineage: Eukaryota; Fungi; Ascomycota; Eurotiomycetes; Onygenales; Ajellomycetaceae. The record is from RNAcentral.